This is a non-coding RNA of Nicotiana tabacum (common tobacco), 929 nucleotides long. The record is from RefSeq and is a predicted model, not a curated record. NCBI's taxonomy places the organism in Eukaryota, Viridiplantae, Streptophyta, Magnoliopsida, Solanales, Solanaceae.
ACCAACCUAAUUCUUGAACUCUCUGUCGUUGGACCUCCUCACUACCGCUAUCGCCCACCCCUCUCUCUUCUCUCUCUCUCACAACCCUUCUACCGCCUUCACCUUUGACGCCGACCAGCCAACACCAACAUCCGCAAACCACCCUUCCGCUACCACUGCUUCGCCGGCGAGUGGUCAGAAAUCCGGCAAAAACCUCAAGCAGCUAGUUACCACACUGAUGAUUUUGAAGAAGGGAGAUGCAGAAAUGAUUAUAAAGGCUAUAAGCAUGCAAGUAAAAACUUGGUCACAUAUGUAAGAUUAGUGAAUAACAAAAAAUAAACUUAUUGUAAGAAUUACAAUCAUUGCAGCAUAUCCUGAAGAAAGCGGAAGUAUUAGCUGCGUCAGUUAACUAGUCAUUAUUUUAGUGCAUGUACCUCUCUUCAGAAUCUAGAGGAAGCAACUGAUUAACGCUACAUAAUUCGCCUCUUGCCAAAAAAAAUUCGCACACGCGCACACAUAGAACAGAGUACGAAAAAGAACAAUGAAACUUCAGCUUCAUCUGCCCUAAUUCUGAUCUCGGAUUUUAGCUUCUUCAUCUGAUUUUCGAUCUUGAAACCAUGGAAUCUGACUGAAUUUGAUGGAAGUCGUUUUGGUUUCGAGCUUCUGGCGUCUAUUCGAGUUUUCAUCUGCGGUUCCAGCAUUUGUGUUUCAAAGUUGCCAUACAAUAAAACUUCAGGUUCAUUGAGGUAUGGAUUAGUGUACCAGAGCUCGAGCAUGACAAAUACCUCAGGACCACUGCAUUCAGGAGCUGCUUAAAGAUACUUUUAUAUUUAGAGUCUGUCAUUCAUGUUGUCUUUUACUUUCUAGUCUUGUACAGUAAUAUCGAGUCUUUGUUAUAUUACUUCCCAUUUUGUAUUUGAAAAAAAAAUGAAAAUCCAACAAGAUUUUUA